Saccostrea echinata is the source of this 420-nucleotide long non-coding RNA. RefSeq lists it as uncharacterized. The transcript has 3 exons. Lineage: Eukaryota; Metazoa; Mollusca; Bivalvia; Ostreida; Ostreidae. The record is from RefSeq and is a predicted model, not a curated record.
AAUAUAAAACAUUGAACAUUUUGAAAGGUUACAGAACUCUCAACACUCGAAUCUUUCACAGGACAUAAAAUAAGUCGUCAUAAAGGAUACACAAGUGUACUGGACAGAAAGAUGAUGGGCUUUAAAGGUUUGUUCCUCCUCUUUGUGUUUUGUCUGGCAUACAUUCAAACUCAGGCAGAGGACAACUGCGAUGAAAACGAAGUUCCGGUAGACCCAGAAUGGAAGGACUGGACAGUCAUAGAUGGAGAAGAUAGAGUUGUGGCGUCAGGCAGCACUGCGUCUUCCUCUAGCAUGAGCACCAGAAUCCUGUUUGGACUAAUAGCUGUUACUCUGUGGUUUGUUAGGGGUUGACCUCACGCAGAGUAUGUUGAUGGCAGUCUACAGCUUUCAAGCAUCAUGCAAUAAAUAUAUGCAUUUAUA